RNAcentral lists this non-coding RNA (29 nucleotides) under Rattus norvegicus (Norway rat). The record is from RNAcentral. Lineage: Eukaryota; Metazoa; Chordata; Mammalia; Rodentia; Muridae.
AGGAAGGAACUGCUAAUUGGUGACACCGA